UUAAGGCACCUGUGGCAGGAGAGCUGCCUUUCCUUUGUCUGUGCCUGCUCGCUGCCACAUGGUCUGAACAGAGGUAAUGAGGCCUGGGUCAUUGUAUUCGACAAUUUACUUUGAGUUCUGACCUGCUUAUCAGUUGCUGAAUUGUGUUUGUUCGUUUAGAUUGUUUGCUUUCACUUUGCACUUUUCCCUGUCUGUCACCGUCCAUUGAUACAGGUAAUGUGAAGUAGGUCGGCGGAAACUUGGAUGAAUGAACCUAAACAGACACAAUCAGCUGCUAUUUUUGUCUUUAAGAGUUUGUUUUGUGUUGUCAACAUUUUAGACAUUUGAUCAUAGAGCCAUUUUAAUAGAACCAACUGGGGUUUUGUUUCCCUAGUUUUAAUCAUUUCUUUUGUAUAACCUUUUUUUCUUUCUCGUUCUUUACAGUGCAGUGGUGGCUGGCUAGCAGUGAAGGCUAGGCAUGUUGAGAGGUUCCCCACACCUUUUGUUGAAGUGGCAGAUGUACUGGGGCACCAUAGUCUACGCUGGUUUGUAGUGUUUUCAUUGCGUUCACGUGUGGUGGGUAAGUGCACUCCUGGGACACUUCCUUUUGGUAGACUACCUCCCUCUUGCUAGCUCCCACUCGCUGCCCCCUUCUGUUUUGUUAGUUUAACUGUAUGGAAGUGUUUUAUUGGUUAACUGUUAAAAAGAAUCAGUUGUAAUAAACUUUUCUACUCCAUUCAAUAUUCAAACUCAUUUGUUUUCUUUCAGCUGGCACUUCCAGGUCC
Xyrichtys novacula (pearly razorfish) is the source of this 764-nucleotide non-coding RNA. Lineage: Eukaryota; Metazoa; Chordata; Actinopteri; Labriformes; Labridae. The record is from the annotation of a GenBank genome assembly.